Mesocricetus auratus (golden hamster) is the source of this 1356-nucleotide long non-coding RNA. RefSeq lists it as uncharacterized. Lineage: Eukaryota; Metazoa; Chordata; Mammalia; Rodentia; Cricetidae. The transcript is spliced from 6 exons. The record is from RefSeq and is a predicted model, not a curated record.
GGCGUGGCGGGGACCAGGUCCCCGGCAUUGCGGAGCAGGAACUCGCGGCGGUGGCGCCAGUGUUUGUCCGUCUCGCCCUCGCAGCGCAGCGUCUCCACCCAGGCGGCCACUCGCGGGUUCUGGCUCAGGUGGUCUUGCAGUUUCGUGAUUAGACCUACAAAUUCAAUGUCAGCAAGCUGUCUGUAGAUGCCUUCCCUGGAUCGUCAUGAAGAAUGACCUGCUUCUCCAAGAAUCUACCUUUCCGAGGCUCAUAGGCAGCUAAUGUACUUAUGUUUUCAAGUUGUACAAAUGAAGAAAUGGGGGUAACAGAAUCAUGUGCUUUUAAACAAUAAAUUCUCCCCUCAGAAAUUGGCAAUAUUUAAGAGAGAAAAGCCCCAUCUAGACAACCAGAUCCUGGAAAGGUUUCAUCCCAGUUGAAGGAUGUCGCCAAACAGCUACAAGGGGUAGCAGCAUGUACGCCUGUGGAUGACAAGAGGUGGCGACGCCAGCAGGCCAUCCUUGCUCAAAAGGCUGGUGGAGGACUGAGGGGCACACCCUCAUCAAAUGCCAGUUCUUUCCUCUCAGCGAGGCCCCGCCCCUCCACACCACCUCCUCCAGCAUUGAAGCAUCACCAGACCCUCUGGGGACAUUUCUGUGAGUGUCCUGCUGCUGUUCCUUCUUGUGGGGAGGAGUGAAUAGCAUCUAUUCAGCCCAGAUGGGGCCCAGACAACACGCCGACGAAAUGACUCCUUGGUUUUGAGCUCGGCUCUCCGGGUCGGCGGUGCGCUUCUGUCAUUUUCCCUUGAGACCACUGGGUGGCGCUGAAGGAGCCGGGAUUGCCAGAAAGACUGUGGCUUCCAACUGCUGUCAGAGGGAUUUAGGGAAGAGCAGUCAGUCACACAGGUAUCAGGACAGUGUAAGAUCUGGGGCCCAAGGAAGACUCUCAAGAGACAAGAAAUAAAAGUUGUCAAGAGGAUGCAAUGGAGGCUGCCUCUAGGAGGCAAGGAGAACAUCAGAGAAUUUGAACCUUUCUGUCUUUCUCUGCUGUCCUGGCCUCUGUGACUCAGUUUCUCACCGUGUCUUCUCACAAGAUUCAGAAUCAAGCAACAGAAGCAAACUCAUCCCGUUCCCCUGUGGAUUUGCUGAAAACCGGGGACAAACUCAAAUACCACUCCAAAAGAAUAUGAGAAGGAGAAGCCAAGUUGGCCCUGUCAGGAUCCCCACAGAAAUGGAAUGAUAGCCCGGGGGAGCUGAAACUUGUCCUGUGUGGAGACUGGCGUUACAUACUGUCUGUGUAGACCAGGCUAGUCUUGAACUUACAAAGAUCCACCUCCCUCUGCCUUCCAUGUGCUGGGAAUAAAGGCGUGUGCGCCAUCA